This 468-nucleotide ribosomal RNA is filed under the name uncultured bacterium. RNAcentral's name for it is "partial 16S ribosomal RNA". It matches the Rfam family "Bacterial small subunit ribosomal RNA", at positions 28 to 507 of the family's 1533-position model. The record is from RNAcentral.
GACGAACGCUGGCGGCGUGCUUAACACAUGCAAGUCGAACGGAAAGGCCCUGCUUUUGUGGGGUGCUCGAGUGGCGAACGGGUGAGUAACACGUGAGUAACCUGCCCUUGACUUUGGGAUAACUUCAGGAAACUGGGGCUAAUACCGGAUAGGAGCUCCUGCAGCAUGGUGGGGGUUGGAAAGUUUCGGCGGUUGGGGAUGGACUCGCGGCUUAUCAGCUUGUUGGUGGGGUAGUGGCUUACCAAGGCUUUGACGGGUAGCCGGCCUGAGAGGGUGACCGGCGACAUUGGGACUGAGAUACGGCCCAGAAUCCUACGGGAGGCAGCAGUGGGGAAUAUUGCACAAUGGGCGGAAGCCUGAUGCAGCAACGCCGCGUGCGGGAUGACGGCCUUCGGGUUGUAAACCGCUUCCGCCUGUGACGAAGCGUGAGUGACGGUAAUGGGUAAAGAAGCACCGGCUAACUACGUG